UACACAUGCAAGUCGAACGGCAGCACGGGGGCAACCCUGGUGGCGAGUGGCGAACGGGUGAGUAAUACAUCGGAACGUGUCCUGUAGUGGGGGAUAGCCCGGCGAAAGCCGGAUUAAUACCGCAUACGCUCUACGGAGGAAAGGGGGGGAUCUUAGGACCUCCCGCUACAGGGGCGGCCGAUGGCAGAUUAGCUAGUUGGUGGGGUAAAGGCCUACCAAGGCGACGAUCUGUAGCUGGUCUGAGAGGACGACCAGCCACACUGGGACUGAGACACGGCCCAGACUCCUACGGGAGGCAGCAGUGGGGAAUUUUGGACAAUGGGGGCAACCCUGAUCCAGCAAUGCCGCGUGUGUGAAGAAGGCCUUCGGGUUGUAAAGCACUUUUGUCCGGAAAGAAAACGCCGUGGUUAAUACCCGUGGCGGAUGACGGUACCGGAAGAAUAAGCACCGGCUAACUACGUGCCAGCAGCCGCGGUAAUACGUAGGGUGCAAGCGUUAAUCGGAAUUACUGGGCGUAAAGCGUGCGCAGGCGGUCCGCUAAGACAGAUGUGAAAUCCCCGGGCUUAACCUGGGAACUGCAUUUGUGACUGGCGGGCUAG
Molecule: ribosomal RNA, 599 nt
Filed under: bacterium enrichment culture clone T56x_H11_T3_H12
Lineage: Bacteria
Description: bacterial SSU rRNA
Rfam family: Bacterial small subunit ribosomal RNA
Source: RNAcentral